GAUGAACGCUGGCGGCGUGCCUAAUACAUGCAAGUCGAGCGAACAGACGAGGAGCUUGCUCCUCUGACGUUAGCGGCGGACGGGUGAGUAACACGUGGAUAACCUACCUAUAAGACUGGGAUAACUUCGGGAAACCGGAGCUAAUACCGGAUAAUAUAUUGAACCGCAUGGUUCAAUAGUGAAAGACGGUUUUGCUGUCACUUAUAGAUGGAUCCGCGCCGCAUUAGCUAGUUGGUAAGGUAACGGCUUACCAAGGCGACGAUGCGUAGCCGACCUGAGAGGGUGAUCGGCAACACUGGAACUGAGACACGGUCCAGACUCCUACGGGAGGCAGAAGUAGGGAAUCUUCCGAAAUGGGCGAAAGCCUGAAGGAGCAACGCCGCGUGAGUGAUGAAGGUCUUCGGAUCGUAAAACUCUGUUAUUAGGGAAGAACAAAUGUGUAAGUAACUAUGCACGUCUUGACGGUACCUAAUCAGAAAGCCACGGCUAACUACGUG
RNAcentral lists this ribosomal RNA (497 nucleotides) under uncultured bacterium. RNAcentral describes it as "partial 16S ribosomal RNA". It matches the Rfam family "Bacterial small subunit ribosomal RNA", at positions 28 to 507 of the family's 1533-position model. The record is from RNAcentral.